AUAGUAUAUGAACUAAAGACGAGGAAAGAGAUUUGAACUGAAAUCAAUGUCACUGACCAAGACUAACCUAAUUGCUAAUGUUAUUGAGACACUCACUGCCGUGCGAUGGAUGGACAGACUGACGUCGCGUGGCAGUUCUUUCACUUGCAGUUUCAGGCUUGCUUGCUUUGGAGGGACUAUUUUGUAGGGUUGCGCACUACGGACAACAGUGAGUGAGAUAGAAUUAGGGUUUCCGUUCUAAUAAUACGGAAUUUGGUGUAAGAGUUUUUAACACUUGUAUUAUUGGAUCGGACAUUACAUGACGAUGAACCUGUUAUAUAUGUAAGGUGCUAUCGAGAAGAAGAGAGCUGGUUUGUGUGUUCCGGCACACGGGCUAUGUGGUUCGGAAGCCCAUACUGAAGUUUUUCUCCGACUUCGCAUGUUAGUCUUUGCAGUUUCAUGGAUUAUGGUUCAACACCGUAGGAGCUUUGAGAACUGAAGCAGAUUUAAGAGUGAACUUUAUAAGAUCAUGGGCCGGUUCAAGAACUUGUUUGUUGAUUUCAUGGAGAAAUUGAAAGUUUCAAUCACAA
Non-coding RNA from Malus domestica (apple), 569 nucleotides. Lineage: Eukaryota; Viridiplantae; Streptophyta; Magnoliopsida; Rosales; Rosaceae. The record is from RefSeq and is a predicted model, not a curated record.